RNAcentral lists this ribosomal RNA (430 nucleotides) under bacterium. RNAcentral's name for it is "partial 16S ribosomal RNA". It matches the Rfam family "Bacterial small subunit ribosomal RNA", at positions 355 to 776 of the family's 1533-position model. The record is from RNAcentral.
UGGGGAAUAUUGGACAAUGGGCGGAAGCCUGAUCCAGCCAUGCCGCGUGUGUGAAGAAGGCCUUUUGGUUGUAAAGCACUUUAAGCGAGGAGGAGGCUACUUGGAUUAAUACUCUAGGAUAGUGGACGUUACUCGCAGAAUAAGCACCGGCUAACUCUGUGCCAGCAGCCGCGGUAAUACAGAGGGUGCGAGCGUUAAUCGGAUUUACUGGGCGUAAAGCGUGCGUAGGCGGCUUCUUAAGUCGGAUGUGAAAUCCCUGAGCUUAACUUAGGAAUUGCAUUCGAUACUGGGAAGCUAGAGUAUGGGAGAGGAUGGUAGAAUUCUAGGUGUAGCGGUGAAAUGCGUAGAGAUCUGGAGGAAUACCGAUGGCGAAGGCAGCCAUCUGGCCUAAUACUGACGCUGAGGUACGAAAGCAUGGGGAGCAAACAGG